Long non-coding RNA from Talpa occidentalis (Iberian mole), 479 nucleotides. RefSeq lists it as uncharacterized. NCBI's taxonomy places the organism in Eukaryota, Metazoa, Chordata, Mammalia, Eulipotyphla, Talpidae. The record is from RefSeq and is a predicted model, not a curated record. The transcript is spliced from 4 exons.
UUUCAUUUGUUUCUGCCUUUUUUACUAUUGCAGAGCUGGCAUGUACUUUCAUUUUCUAUUCUAAAUGAUCCUGGUGUGAACAUUUAUACUUGCAUAAGGCUUGUGUGGACUUCUGGCAGUAUUUCUUGUACCAGUCAGCAUGUGCUGUAACUGUAUGACUGUGAGUUAUUCUUCAUGACAAGUUUGUAAGUCAAUACUGCAAACCAGGCAAGGACUUUCGAAGGCAGCUGUCUUCUCCCUGUGUGAUCCAGAGCUCUCGUCAUCCAUGUAACAUGUGAGUCCCCGAAACACAUUCAUGAUCCUUCGUGCCGUGGCUGUUUUCUCCUGCACACUGUGGACGGAAAGAAUCACCGCUGUGAAGAGAACUCGAUGUUCAGUGAAAGAAAAAGCAUGAAAAAGGUUAUUCAAAGCUAAACGGAGACCGUGGCCCAGGGAGCCAACAUGUGUUUGCUCUGAGCGGCUGAUCCCGGCCUUGCAGC